Mytilus californianus (California mussel) is the source of this 7399-nucleotide RNA transcript. It is a transcript of the gene named divergent protein kinase domain 1C-like, with no coding region annotated. The record is from RefSeq and is a predicted model, not a curated record. Lineage: Eukaryota; Metazoa; Mollusca; Bivalvia; Mytilida; Mytilidae. The transcript is spliced from 6 exons.
AUUAGAGUUACCUCCCAUUUGUUAUUUCUCGAUGUGGCAUUUUUAUUCUUACAUACUCAGUAACAUAGUAUUCUAAAGAUCUUUUAUAUUGAUUUAGAGACCAUGCAUAAUGAGAAUAAUAAGAUGUAGAUUAAACCGACUGAUCAAGACAUCCAUUUGUGCCACAUUACUUAUUUCAUUGGUCUUUGUUGUUAGUCUUGUAGUAUUAACAGUAAAGGAAAAUCAGUGUUCAAAUGAGGAGUCACUGCAUUUUAUAGAGGAACUUUGUGAGGCCUACAAAAGUCAUAAUGUUGAAGGCAGAUUAUGUGAAGCAAUCUGUCAGUCUAAAGAUAUCAUAUUCCAAAAGUGUGCAAAUUACAGAGGAGGGAAAGUAGUUCUGCUGGCACAAUGUAAUGGUAGAUGUGAGGAAGGCAAGAAUGUGAUGGCUGUAAUCAAAACCAGAAGAUGGGAGGGACAUCAUUUCGAACCGUUGAAUUUAGGUACACAUAGUAAUAAAAGUCUGACUGCAGAAAGUUUGAAAAUUGCAAAAACAUUAAUGAAUGAUCUUAUUUAUUCUACAACAAAAGUAAACAUUGGAGGCAUCCAAGACAUUUUUGAAAAAUUAUGGGAAAUGGAUUUCACCUCUUUUGUGAAGAGUGCCAGAUACCCUGGUGCUGACACUGUUGUUAUAGAAAGUUUAUGGAAACUAUUGAACCAAGAUGAAUACUUGUUUAUGUCUGUAAAUAAGGAUAGUCAUUUUAUUCCAAAGAUAUAUGGAACAUGUGGAGGAGUAUAUGUGACAGAGUAUGCUCCAUCAGGUGAAAAUCUCAAUUCAUCCCCAAGCAUUUUUACUGCUAAGAAAGGACUAUGGGUUGAACGUGCAGACAUAGCAUUGCAAAUUCUAGACAUCUGUCAGUCAUUAGACAUAGAUUUUCAUGAACCUUUACAUUUUUGUGAUGUGAAGGAAGAAAACUUUGGAUUAGAUUCUAAAAAGCAAGUAAAAAUACUUGAUACUGACUCUUUAUUUUAUGACACAUCAAUGAUGAAAGAUUUAGGAGAUCCAAAAUGUAAAACCCACCAAGAGUGUGAUUUCUUUGAUUGUCGAGGAUGGUGUGAUAUACAGAAAGGAAAAUGUGUUUCUAAGAGAACUAAUAAUAAUUUACAGAAUAUUUGUGAGGACAUUUUCAUCCCCAGAGCUCACAACUUUUACACAGGACUUCUGUUCUACCCUCCAGAUGAAAUUGCUGCUGAACUUAAACAACUUUUAGAAGAUUGUGCUUAUCCCAAUAAAAAUAAAGGAGAAAUUGUAAGGACUCCAACACCCACAGAAGUUUUCUGGAAAUUAGUAGCAUUAUUAAAAAGAAGUAAAAGUUUGACAAAACAAAAUAGAAAAUAUAGCUGAUAAGCAUCAACAAAAGCAAAACAUAGUUUCAGCUCUUUAUAUAUUGUGUAUAUAAUUUUCUCAAGGGACAAGAUGCAAAGAAAAGGACAGUGGGGCAACACACAUUGUAAUACAGAUUUGCUUGGCUAGAAAAUAUUGAUACAGCUCAAAAUAUCGUUUUUAAAAAUUGAAAAGUUGAUUAGAAUCUUACAUGAACCUUCCAUGUUAUAAAUUGAAAAGUUGAUUAGAAUCUUACAUGAACCUUCCAUGUUAUCUGCAGAGUUAAUGAUAUGUAUUGUAAAUUUCUUUGAUUAAAAGGGGUUUUGGGUGAACAAUGUUAACAAUAAUGAAAACUGUGCCGCAACCAAGCAUCACAAGUAUAGAAAAUAAUAAAAAUGUAGAGUUUAUCAUAUCAUAGACUUCAUAUAAUUUAAUUUCCAGUAAAGGUCAGAUUUAUAGAAACAUUUAGCAAGCAAACAGUGACUGGUAGAUUUUUUUUUAUGCCCCCGCCGUAGCUGUGGGGGCAUUAAGUUUUACCCUUGUCCGUCUGUACAUACCUAUGUACGUCCCAAAAUUGGUUUCCUUUCUCUAACUUGAGUUUGCCACAACCAAAUGUUAUGAAACUUAUACACAAUGCUUAUCACUACAAAACACAGAUCAAGUUUGAAUUUUGGUGGCGUCACUUUAACAGUUCUAGAGUUAUGCCCCUUUAUAAAUGGAAAAAUUGCAAAAUUUUUAGUUUCUGUUCUCUAACUUGAGUUUGCCUCAACCAAAUGUUAUGAAACUUAUACACAAUGUUUAUUACCACAAAACAAGGAUCAAGUUUGAAUUUUAGUGGCGUCACUUUAACCGUUCUAGAGUUAUGUCCCUUUAUAAAUGAAAAAAUUGCAAAAUUUUUAUUUUCUACUAAAUAUCAAGUAAUUUUUAAAAUUGGAGUUAUCUUCCUUUGUCCAUGACUAUAGUUGAAUCAACUACAAUCAAUGCUUUAUACAAUGCAAUGUUUAAUUUUGACUUCCACUGAUAAAACACAGAUCCAGUUGAAUUUGGGUAGUGUCACUUUAACCAUUAUUGAGUUAUGCCCCUUUAUAAAUCGAAAGAUUGCAAAAUUUUUAGUUUCCAUUCUGUAACUUAAGUUUGCCCAAACCAAACAUUAUGAAACCUAUACACAAUAUUCAUUACCACAAAACAAAUUUUUGUUUCCAUUUUCUAACUUUAGUUUGCCUCAACCAAAUGUUAUGAAACUUAUACACAAUGCUUAUUACUACAUAAUACAGAUUAAGUACGAAAUUUGGUGUGAACACUUUUACCAUUCUUGAGUUAUGUCCCUUUAUAAACAUAAAAAUUGCUGAAUUUUCGUUUCCGUUCUCUAACUUUAGUUUGUCUCAACCAAAUGUUAUAAAACUUAUACACAACCGUUCUAGAGUUAUGCGUGUUUACAAAUAGAAAAAUUCCUGAAUUUUUAGUUCUGUUCUCUACUUUAGUUAUCCUCAACCAAAUAUUAUGAGACUUACACACAAUGCUUAUUACCACAAAACUCAGAUCAAGUUCAAAUUUGGGUAGCGUCACUUUUACCGUUCUUCAGUUAUGUCCCUUUAUAACUAUAUGCUAUGCAAGCGGGGGCAUCAUCUGUAUCCACAUUUAUUUAAUAGAGCAAUAUACAUUUAACACACAAAUAUUUGUUUAUGUCUAGAAUAUAAUUUUGACAGGUAUUUCAGUUUAACCAUUAAUAUGUUUAAGGGAAAGGAAAAUUGUAAACUUUGAAAAAGCAAGACCACAGUUAAAAUGUGAGGUACAAUGUUCAUCAUAUGGUAAAUUUCAAUAAAAAAUAUUCUUGAUUAGUCGAAGAUAAAGUGACAGUAAAUAUCCUUUGUUGAUGUAAGUACAUCUGACGCAUGAUUUAUGUAUGAAAACAUAUCAAUUUAAGCAUUUUAAUUUGCAUUUGUAUAAUUUAUUUUGUAUUUUUUUGUGAGAGAAUUGUGCACAUAUCCCAUAAUUAUUUUUGUUGCCUUGAUACAUGUAGCACAUUCAUUUUUGUGUCCCCUUUCAAAUUUAAAUGAAUGGUUACUCAUACCAAUACCUUACUUGAGUUGAUUAUCAGAAUUAUUGGAUAAAGGAAUAGAGAAUUGUACAAGUAGGUCAUCUAUAUUUUUUAUAUGGAAUGAUUGGAAAGAGAUGCAUGUCUGUCUGGCCGCGUUUAUCUUAACAUCUCUUUCAUGGAUAAUUGAUAAUGUUUAUAAGUUUUUGUGUUACUUGUAGUAAAACCUUGAUUUUCAACAAUAUAUUCAAUCAUGAUCAGAAAAGCAGCUAGACAUCUCAGCGUGUGCACUCGUGUUUUUAUUUUACUGUUAUACAAAUGCAUGUAUAUUUGAUAAAUACAUACAUGUAAUUUUAAAAAAAAUUCUGAUGUUUAAGUCUUUGUAGUCUUCCAAGGGUUUUUAUAACAUUUAUAUACCGUAAAAUUAUUUUAUUGCAGUGUAAAAAUAUCAUUAUGAAAAGUACAUCAAUUAAUUUCACCUUUUUAAUUGAUAUUUAAAAAACCAAUCACAUUGUCAGAAUUAUCAUACAUGAUGGAGGUGUGCAAUAGUUGUAAAUCUCCAUAACUUUAACUUAUUCCAGGAAUUCCUGAAAUAUUUUAGGACAUCAAUAUUAAAAUUUUAGUUUCAGUCGAUCCAUAAAUCACAUUAUGGAUCUGUUCAAUUUUUCAGAAUCUUCAUAAAGAAGAAGUAUUUUUUAAGUUCCCAAUUCAUAAAUUUAGGAUAUCCUUGAUGUAUUUUGGGGUAUUGUAGUAUUUCACAAUAUCUGAACAUCAGGACAUCUUAAAAUAUUUGUAUUAUUAAGGAUCCCCAUAUAAGAUGCUCUACAAUGGUAAUACGGAUGUAGUUCUACAUUUAUUAAGCUCCUCAAAUAUUAUUAAUGGACUUCUAUAUUUUGAUUUUUAAAAAGACUUGCAUAAAUAUUUAGGGAUUUCACAAAGAUGAUUUGUUGUGUCACAAAAUUUCUAGGGACCUUUUUGAAAAAUGCAGUUUAGACUUAUCCUUUAUGGAUGUCCUGAAACAGAAUAAUUAGUGUCAUUUAAAAAUGAAAUAAUUGAAAUGUUUGAAUAUUUCACAAUGUCAAGAAUGCAAAUUGUGGAAGAGAAUUCAUUGAAGACCUCCUUAGUUACUAAAAUUGGGACCAAUAAACGUAUUUACGCUUUUGGUAUUUAGCUGGAAUUUGUCCAUGAAUGACCUUAGAUCUGCUCCGAAUAACCUUAUGAUGUCAAGCAACAAUCACUUUUAAAUUAUGACGUCAAAUGUUUUAAAUUGUGACAUCAAAUUUUAUGGGAACUUGUGUGAUUUUAAGUAAUGGCAUACAAAUUUGCAUACAAGUGUAAAUGUACGUCUAUUCUGCACCUCAUAAAGAGUUUUUUGCAUGUUUUAUAUUAGAUUUUACAGCAGGUUUUUAUACGACCGCAAACAAAUUUUUGUGGUCCUAUAUUGGUAUGACGUUGCCGUCGUCGUCGUCGUCGUCUGGCGUCGUCCGGCGUCGUCCGAAGACACAUUGGUUUUCGCACUCUAACUUCAGUUUAAGUGAAUGGAUCUCUAUGAAAUUUUACCACAAGGUUCAAUACCACAAAAGAAAGGUUGGGAUUGAUUUUGGGGGUUAUGGUACCAACAGUAAAGGAAUUAGGGGCCAAAAAGGGGCCAAAAAUAAGCAUUUUUGUAACUUCCAGACAUAACUUGUGUGUUAGUGUAUGGAUCUCUCUGACAUUGUACCACAAGGUUCCAUAUCACAAAAGGAAUGCUGGGAUUGAUUUUGGGGGUAAUUGCCUCAAAAUUUUAGGAAUUAGGGGCCAAAAAAGGGGCAAAAAACAAGCAUUUUUCUAGUUUCAUGACAAUAACUUGUGUGUAAGUGUAUGGAUCUUUCUGAAAUUGUACUACAAGGUUCCAUAUCACAAAGGGAAAGCUGGAAUUGAGUUUAUGGGUAAUUGCCGAAACGUUUAGGAAUUGGGGGCCAAAAAGGGGCCAAAAAUAAGCAUUUUUCUAGUUUCCAGACAAUAACUUGUGUUCAAGUGUAUGGAUCUCUUUGAAAUUGUACUGCAAGGUACCAUACCACAAAGGGAAGGCUGGGAAUGAUGAUGGGGGUAAUUGCCUCAAUAUUUAAGGAAUUAGGGGCCAAAAAGGGGCAAAAAACAAGCAUUUUUCUAGUUUCUAGACAAUAACUUGUGUUCAAGUGUAUGGAUCUCUCUGAAAUUGUACUGCAAGGUACCAUACCACAAAGGGAAGGCUGGGAUUGAUGAUGGGGGUAAUUGCUUCAAUAUUUUAGGUAUUAGGGGCCAAAAAGGGGCAAAAAACAAGCAUUUUUCUAGUUUCAGGACAAUAACUUGUGUGUAAGUGUAUGGAUCUUUCUGAAAUUGUACUACAAGUUUCCAUAUCACAAAGGGAAAGCUGGGUUUGAGUUUGGGGGUAAUUGCCCUAAAUGUUUAGGAAUUUGGGGCCAAAAAGGGGCCAAAAAACAAGCAUUUUUCUAGUUUCCAGACAAUAACUUGUGUUCAAGUGUAUGGAUCUCUCUGAAAUUGUACUGCAAGGUACCAUACCACAAAGGGAAGGCUGGGAUUGAGUUUGGGGUGAUGAAUCAUAAGGGGGGUUCAAAAAUUUUAGGGGAGGGAUUUUUUUUUUCUUUAAAAUUUUCCAUUUUAAAUUGGUUAUUUCUGAUUUAUAUAUAAAAGCAAAUAAUAAUGAUAUGGUUUGAAUAGGUAAAUUAAAAAUUUUAAAGUUCUUAGACCACAUUCAUUCUGUGUCAGAAACCUAUGCUGUGUCAAAUAUUUAAUCACAAUCCAAAUUCAGAGCUGUAUCAAGCUUGAAUGUUGUGUCCAUACUUGCCCCAACUGUUCAGGGUUCGACCUCUGUGGUCGUAUCAAGCUGCGCCCAGCGGAGCAUUUUAUUGACUGUUCAUUUCAAAAACUAUAGCCAUGUUAAAAGUAAAAAUUGCAAAAAUAAUCGUAACAUAAAAAAAAACUAUUAUCGUAUGAAUUUCUUGAUUAUUAUGAGUAAUAGGACCAUAUAAGGUAUAUGGGAUCCUUGCAUGAUCUUCAUGUUUGUCAGUUGGGCUUUGCAAGACCUGGGCCUCAUUUCACAAAUCCAUGAUGUAUAUUAAGUUCUCAUGCUCAAGUCUAUGAGGUGCCGAAUUAGUCAAAAUUAUAGUAUUUAUUGAGCUUGUGAAACAUUUCUGGCCUUCCAUAAUUCAAAUUCAUGAUAUCCGUAAAUCAUUGAGGACUUCCUGAAAUAUUUCAUGAUCUCUGUAACUCUAUUUAAGUAUAUCCUGAAAUAUUUCAGAACCUCCAUAAUUUGAUUUAGGAUAUCCUGAAAUAUUUUAGGAUCUCCACAAAUAAUUGUUAAGAAUUGCUUUAUUUCUGGAGGUCCUUAUUUAGUUCAGGAUAUCCUUAAUCCUUCACAGAUGAAGACGAAUAUGUUCCUAUUGUCGUAAUCACAAUCCCGUCCUCUUUUCUUCGAAUGUGAUCUACCGAAAUUAGAAUUGUCACCAGCUUUUUACUGACGUGAGCACCACAAUGGGUGCCACGUGUGAAGCAGGAUCUGCUUACCCUUUCGGAGUACCUGAGAUAGCCCCUGGGUUUGGUGGGGUUUGUGUCUUUAGUUUUUAUUGUUGUGUUUUGUAGACUGGUGUUUGUCUUUUGGUUUUUGCCGUGGCAUUGUCAAUUCGUUUUCAGCUUAUGAGAUUGUCUAUUCCUUUUUUAUCUUCCACCUCGCUUUUAAAUCGAUUUCAGAAUCCAUCUGGCAGGGUUCAUCUGACCUUGACCUCAUUUUUAGAGUUCAUUGGUUAGCAUUAAGUUUAGGCACUGGCUACGAUUACAUUUCAACAUUAAUUGCCGGAGUGGUUUGUUGGGUAAGGAACCGAUUAAUUACAAAAGUAACAAUAACAUUUGUUUCUACGGUUACGUUGUGUUAUUGUUACGUUAGAUUUAUUAAACUUUUUACCUACUAUAGUCAGAGACAUAUAAUACAAUACAACUUAGGUUCAAAAAGGGUCAACUAUAUAUAA